Molecule: long non-coding RNA, 1395 nt
Filed under: Brassica napus (rape)
Lineage: Eukaryota; Viridiplantae; Streptophyta; Magnoliopsida; Brassicales; Brassicaceae
Description: long non-coding RNA (BNAP_LNC016423)
Source: RNAcentral
UCUCUCUCUAAAACCAAAAUAGGGGCCCACAUCUAUAUUAUAAAAAUAUAAAAUACAAGCAAAAAUGAUAAAUUAGAAGAAAUAGAAAAACUUUUGAAUCGUCAGAGAGAUAAAAGAAAAAUAAAAAUAAAAAUAAAAACUUAUAUAAAAAUAAGAUUUUAUGUCAAACGCAGAUCUCAAGAUAAUUUUAAACUUUUAUUAGUGUUUUUUUUCAAUACAAUGUACAUAUAAAUAAUGCUAAUUAUAUAAAAACAAUUAAAAUGAAGCUUUUGAAAGUGGGGGCCGUAGGCCCAGGUUUUACUAUGCUCUGUUCAGGGACGCCCACACACUCACACUCUCUCUCACUCUCACUCUCACUAUCUCUGCACUCACACUCUCUCUCACUCUCACUCUCACUAUCUCUCUCUCUCUCUCUCUGUCAAUCUCUCUUACACUCACUCUCACUCUCUCUCUCUCUCACAAUCUCUCUCACUCACUCUCUCUCUCUCUCUCUCCCUCUCUCUCUCUCUCAUAGACACUUAAAAUUAUAUCAUUGAUAUGGUUCGUUUUUUAUACUGUUUAUUUAAAAAUAUAAUACAGUGUAAUACAUUACUUCUGCUUAAUGUCACUACAAAAAGGGAUUUGAUAGCAUAAUAUAAUAUCAUUGUUUUAUUUCUGAUUUUAGUUUAUACUAAUAACACUUAAUUAACGCUCUUUUGAAAAAUUAGUGAGUGGAAGCAGAAAAUUACUAUACCGCCAAUACUUAGCUGAAAAUCAGACUUCAUCGCCAAAUACAUAAUUUAAGCGAUUUCAAUAAAGCUAUCAAUGACAUAAGAUAGCAUUUUUCAUACGCUAAUAAAAUUCAUUUUUCAAUUAUUAUACUUCAAACACUAAAACUCUAAACCUAAACUAUAUGCCAAAUAAUACACUUAAAUUUUAUAUCUAACACAAUUGUAAUUUUUAACGUAUUUAGUUUUAUAACUUUAACUUUAUAACUAAUUCUUAAUAUUUAUACUUAAUAAUUAAUUUUACAAUUUAUAAAUCUUAAAUUCAAAAUUAAACUCCAAACCCUAUAUCUAAACUCCAAACUCUAUCCCCCAAACCCCAAUACUUUACUUCAAACCCUAUACUAUACCACAAACCAUAAAUCUAAACACUAAAACUAAUAUUUUCAAACUUAAACACCAAAUCUUAACACAUAAACUACAAAUCAAAUAUUUUCAAAUUUUAUUCUCAAAAUUUUGUGGCUAUAGCAAUUUGAAACCCUAAACUUUUUAAAAAAUUCUAAACUCUAAACAUAAGACUUAAAACUCUAAUCUUUUCACACUAUAACCUCAAAUCUUAAAUUUACACUACUCAAAAUUGAAUCUUUUAAAUUUUCAAUCAAAAUUUAUACCCUAAACAUUCAUUAAAAUC